CUACGGGUGGCACCAGUGAGGAAUAUUGGUCAAUGGGCGCAAGCCUGAACCAGCCAUGCCGCGUGAAGGAUGACAGCGCUAUGCGUUGUAAACUUCUUUUGUACAGGAAGAAACACUUCUACGUGUAGAAGCUUGACGGUACUGUGCGAAUAAGCAUCGGCUAACUCCGUGCCAGCAGCCGCGGUAAUACGGAGGAUGCAAGCGUUAUCCGGAUUUAUUGGGUUUAAAGGGUACGUAGGCGGAAAAUUAAGUCAGUAGUGAAAUCCCGCAGCUUAACUGUGGAACUGUUAUUGAUACUGGUUUUCUUGAAUUUAGUUGAGGUAGGCGGAAUGUGUAAUGUAGCGGUGAAAUGCUUAGAUAUUACACAGAACACCGAUUGCGAAGGCAGCUUACUAAGCUAUGAUUGACGCUGAGGUACGAAAGCGUGGGGAGCGAACAGGAUUAGAUACCCGCGUAGUC
RNAcentral lists this ribosomal RNA (459 nucleotides) under uncultured bacterium. Its description in RNAcentral is "partial 16S ribosomal RNA". It matches the Rfam family "Bacterial small subunit ribosomal RNA", at positions 339 to 795 of the family's 1533-position model. The record is from RNAcentral.